UACAGAGGGUGCGAGCGUUAAUCGGAAUUACUGGGCGUAAAGGGUGUGUAGGUGGUUGUGUAAGUUAGAUGUGAAAUCCCUGGGCUCAACCUGGGAACUGCGUUUAAAACUGCAUAGCUAGAGUACUGUAGAGGAUAGUGGAAUUUCCAGUGUAGCGGUGAAAUGCGUAGAUAUUGGAAGGAACACCAGUGGCGAAGGCGACUAUCUGGGCAGAUACUGACACUGAGACACGAGAGCAUGGGGAGCAAACAGG
RNAcentral lists this ribosomal RNA (253 nucleotides) under uncultured bacterium. RNAcentral describes it as "partial 16S ribosomal RNA". It matches the Rfam family "Bacterial small subunit ribosomal RNA", at positions 524 to 776 of the family's 1533-position model. The record is from RNAcentral.